Molecule: ribosomal RNA, 191 nt
Filed under: uncultured bacterium
Lineage: Bacteria
Description: partial 16S ribosomal RNA
Rfam family: Bacterial small subunit ribosomal RNA
Source: RNAcentral
CCUACGGGAGGCAGCAGUGAGGAAUAUUGAGGCAAUGGGCGCAAGUCUGAUCCAGCCAUGCCGCGUGCAGGAAGACUGCCCUAUGGGUUGUAAACUGCUUUUAUACGGGAAGAAACGCCCCUACCUGUAGGGGCUUGACGGGACCGUUCCAUUAACACACCGGCUAACUCCGUGCCAGCAGCCGCGGUAAA